GACAGAGGGUGCAAACGUUGUUCGGAAUCAUUGGGCGUAAAGAGCGUGUAGGCGGCUCGAUAAGUCUGCUGUGAAAGUCCAGGGCUCAACCCUGGAAGGCCGGUGGAAACUGUCGGGCUAGAGUCCGGAAGAGGCGAGUGGAAUUCCCGGUGUAGCGGUGAAAUGCGCAGAUAUCGGGAGGAACACCAAUGGCGAAGGCAGCUCGCUGGGACGGUACUGACGCUGAGACGCGAAAGCGUGGGGAGCAAACAGG
Molecule: ribosomal RNA, 253 nt
Filed under: uncultured bacterium
Lineage: Bacteria
Description: partial 16S ribosomal RNA
Rfam family: Bacterial small subunit ribosomal RNA
Source: RNAcentral